RNA transcript from Oreochromis niloticus (Nile tilapia), 7650 nucleotides. RefSeq lists it as uncharacterized. The record is from RefSeq and is a predicted model, not a curated record. The transcript is spliced from 2 exons. NCBI's taxonomy places the organism in Eukaryota, Metazoa, Chordata, Actinopteri, Cichliformes, Cichlidae.
CCCAGAUUAUUUGUUUAUUUGAUAUUUUUCAAACAGUUAAAUCCCUGAACGAAUUAUACCUUAUAAUAUAGAUUAGACUCUUAUUUUGAAAUUUGGAACGGGCAACUUCCGGGAAGGAAGAUCGUACUGCUACUGCUUGCUGCAGAAAAGGUUCAUGAGAAAGUUAUUGUUUCCCAUCCAUCUUUAAAUUAGCAUCUAGCUGGAAGGCGAACAGGUAUGUUUGUGUAUUUUACUUGUUGUUAACAUUUCGGACAAUUUGUAAAUUUAUUACUUGAUUGUUAACAAGUUUAUGAGUGAUCUAGCAGGCUGAUGCUAGCACCUCUUGUGCCUUUUUUGUGAAUUAAUUAGCAUGUAGGAAACGUGGUUAUAUCAAGUGAAUGUUUAUUUUGUUUUAUGUCAUGAUUACAGCUCUUACGAUGUUUCUAUGGUAAAACUUGUGAAUAAAUGGGUUGGAAUACCCCACCAUGGUCCAUCCGUAAUGAUCAUUGAGUGCAUCGUCUGAAUAAAGUCCGGCUGGAAUGCUACAGUAAGAGCUGAUCCCCCACAUCAUCCUGCUGCCACUCUGCACCACGGAACCACGAGGACGAGUCACGGAGCUGUGUUACUAUUCGUCUGGGAUUGACAAGACAUUUCAUGGAGCAGCUCAGCGCCAUUCUAUGGGUCUUCUAGACAGAGACUUUAUGAUCAUCAUGCAGCUGGUUUAAUGGUUUGAUGUGACGGUCAGACAAGGUAUGGAACAUUUCAUUCUAAUUGAUAAGGAAAGGACAUUCAUGCUCAUCAGUGGUGGUUAAAAGGGAGAGAGAAGGACGUCAACUACUGUGGACAUCUGCACUAAGGACAUUGCAUUAAGAAAUAACGGACAUGAAGUAAUAACAAGUGAAGUAGUCUUGUUUAUUGGUAUUUACCACCACCACUGUUUAUUUAUCAUUCUUUCUACUGACUCAAAGGGGGCAUUUGAUUCAAUUUGUAACUGUACAGUCUUAACGGUGUAUUGGAUUUGUGUUUGGCAUAAGAGGUUUACUUUACCACAUCAGUUUGCAACAGCUAGCAGGUUGCAUUCAUUAUUUUAUACAUUUCUUCUCAACAUUGUGUUGGUUAUCUACUUCUAUUUCAACUUGGUUUAAAGUGCAAAGAUUCUCCUCCCUUCUGUUAAUGCAGCCUGUAAGUUAUAGUAACCACAAGCAGCUCAUUAACGAAAGCCUGCAAAUUAGAUAAGUAAAUAACAUAAACAUGAAGGAAAUGGAGAAUCCCUCCUCACAAACAGAACUAGAGCAACAGAUAGUCGACCUGCAGAAUAAAAUCGAAAGGCUUAAGGCGUCUCUUGAAGACACAUCAGAAACUACAGAAAUAGAACUUUUGGAGAAGGAAAUUCAACACAAAGAAGAAACGUUGAACAACUUGCAAGGUGAGCUUAAAGAAGGCCUCCGACGCUCCACUCGAACAAAAACCCCAACUCCUAAGGCGCUCGAAAUGCAACAGGAGGAAGCAAGAAAAAGAGAAAGAAAGUUCAUCUCAACAUACGAGGGAUGGAAGAUUCGAGCCCGAGAGUCAAGAGAGCAGCUCAAGUCAGACAUUAGUAAAGGCGAGCUGGCAUCUUUGAUGGAUGCUUUGGAGAAAGAGAAAGAAACUGUGUUAAACACUUACCUUGAAAUACGAAGUCACAUUACACCUUCUCCAGAAUUAAGACGUCAUGUUGACAGUUGUGAGGCAGUUACAGCCGAAAUUAUGAAAGUUACCUACGAGAGAAUGUCAGACCUCGAUGGUGAUUAUGAUGCAGAACAAGUACAUCGCCGUCUCAGGGAGCUGCUUAAGAACAGCUACGCACGCUCCAUCUAUGGAUCCACUGCAUCUAGAGUGACAAAGUCAGUCCGUAGUCACGAAAGCACCACUAUAACACUCAAACGGGCGGAUGCCGCAGCAGAGCUAGCUGCUAAGGAAGUUGAAUUUGAAGGGUUGCUGGAAGAAGAGAGACAAAUGGAGAAGAUAGAGGAACAGCAGAGAAAAAUGGAAGUAGAAAAGCGCAGACUUGAACGCCUUCAAGCAGAAAAGAAUUUAAGGGCUGCUCGGGCCAAACUACAGGUUUACAGCCAGGUAGCCUCACAGGAAGGCAGUCUGCAUUCCUCUAAUAGUUCAGUGGGAAAUCAUCAUGUUCCCCCUGCUAUCAGCCAUCCAGCUCCCAACGUCACAGCAUCACCACCCGACACAAACGUGUCAUCCCUUGCCCAAGCCCUACAAGACAGUAUGGCUCUAAAUAGACUUCCAGUUCCAGAGCCGUCUGUAUUUAAUGGUGACCCCAUUCAGUUCAUUGAGUGGAAAACUUCGUUCAUGUCACUUAUUGACAAAAAGGCCAUCUCCCCAGCGGACAAACUUUAUUACUUAAGGAAGUAUGUAGGCGGCCCAGCUCGUAAAACACUGGAAGGAACUUUCUAUAGAAAUGACAGCGACGCUUAUAAGGAUGCGUGGAACAAACUGGAUAACAGAUAUGGCCAAACCUUUAUCAUACAGAAAGCCUUCAGAGAUAAGCUCACAGAUUGGCCAAAGAUCCAACCUAGAGAUGCAGAAGGAUUAAGAGACUUCUCAGAUUUCUUAAACGCAUGCCAAGAUGCAAUGACACAUGUGAAGAGCCUUGAAAUACUGAACGACUGUGAAGAGAAUAAGAAGCUAAUCCUCAAACUACCAGAGUGGAUAGCAUCUCACUGGAACAGGAAGGUUACUGAAGCCUUAAAGGGCAAUAAGGAAUUCCCCAGUUUUAAGGACUUCGCCGCAUUUAUAGCGACAGAGGCAGAGAUCGCUUGCAAUCCGAUCACCUCAGCUUAUGCCCUCCGCAGCUCUGAGUCGACCACUGCCAAACUAGGCAGCAGAGAACCUAAGAGGAACAAGGCAAGCGUUCUAAACACACAGACUGAGGCCGACACCGAGAGGCUCAAGCCAGUUAAAGGAAAGGAUAAGCCUCCUUGUGCCUUCUGUCAAAAUAAUCAGCACAGACUACAUGGAUGUCCCAAGUUUAUUGCUAAAACUCUGGAGGAGCGUCGAGAUUUCGUCAGAGAACAUAAGCUCUGCUAUGGCUGCACCAAACCUGGACAUAGUGCAAAAGACUGUCGACAUCGACACUCAUGCAACAUGUGCAAGGGUAAACAUCCCACUUGUUUACACGAUGACAACUAUGUAAAGAAGGAAAGGGUCCUGCCACAAGAAACCGCUAUCUUGAGCAAUGCCGGCCAAACGGAGGCUGCUGCAACUUCAAUGUCAGUGAUUACUGGACAGCCAACUAACACAUCAAUGAUUGUGCCUGUGGGGGUGUCAAAAGGGGAUGCAGGAACUGAGAAACUGGUUUACGCCCUGCUGGACACACAAAGCGACACGACAUUUGUUGACCAGGAACUGAGUGAUGUUCUAAAGGCAGAUUCCUGUCCAGUUAAGCUGAAGUUAACUACUAUGAUCGGACGUGAUGUGAUCGUAAAGAGCCAAAGAGUCUCAGGGCUUUGUGUUCGGGGUUAUCGCUCUUCCCUCCUCAUCAACCUUCCUCCUGCUUAUACCAAGGAUUGCAUACCGGUAAACAGAGCCCAUAUCCCAACAAGCGAGACAGCUAAAAGGUGGAAUCAUCUCUCCAAGGUCAUAGAAGAGAUUCCACCUCUACAGGACUGUGAGGUUGGUUUAUUGAUAGGCUAUAACUGUGCACGAGCAAUGGCACCAAGAGAAGUCAUAACGGGAGGAGACGAUGAGCCUUACGCAAUUCGUACCGACUUAGGAUGGAGCAUAGUUGGUGGUUCGUCGACAUGCCCCAACACUUCAAGUACGGCAGGACAGUGCUUCCGAGUUGCAGUCAGGGAGCUCCCACCAGUCACACCGGCAGAUGCCAUUCGCAUUCUAGAGUCUGACUUUAAGGAUGCUAAGGAAGACGGCAAACCAGUGUCUCAGGAGGACAUCCUGUUCCUGGACAAACUCAAGAACCACAUCAAAAAGAACAGUCUAGGUCACUACGAGAUGCCGUUACCCUUUAAGGAGAGACCUACCUUACCUGACAACAAACAGCUUGCAGUCAUGCGUCUGAGCCAUCUAAAGAGGAAGCUCUUAAAGGAUAAAGGGUACAAAGAACAGUAUGUCAAGUUCAUGGAGGAAGUCAUAGAAAAGGGUGAUGCAGAGGAAGUCCACGAUGAUGGGAAAGAGGGUGAAAAAUGGUACAUACCUCAUCACGGUGUAUUCCACGACAAGAAGCCAGGCAAACUGCGCGUGGUGUUCGACUGCUCUGCCAAGUACCAGGGAACCAGUCUGAAUGAUCAUCUGCUCACUGGUCCUGACCUGAUGAACAAUCUCAACGGCGUACUCCUUCGCUUCCGGUUGCACUCCACUGCAUUAAUGUGCGACAUAGAGAAAAUGUUUCACCAAUUUCAUGUGAGGAAUUCGGAUCAGGAUUACCUGCGCUUCCUUUGGUGGAAGAAAGGAGAUCUCGGUACACAACCCCAAGAAUACCGUAUGAGGGUGCAUAUCUUCGGUGCAGCCUCAUCACCUGGUUGUGCGAACUACGGAUUGAAGCAUUUGGCUACAGAAAAUAAAGACCGAUACCCAUUAGGCUCUCAGUUCAUUCUGAGAGAUUUCUACGUCGACGAUGGAGUCACAAGUACAGACAGCUCAGAGAAGGCUAUCAAGUUAGCAGAAGAAGCCAGAAGACUUUGUGCCCUGGGUGGUCUUAGGCUCCACAAGUUUGUGUCCAACGACAAAGCUGUCCUGGAAAGCAUACCAGCGACUGAACGUGCAUCAGACAUUAAAGACCUCAACCUCGCCUUUGAUAGCUUACCUUCAGAGAGAGCAUUGGGUAUCCAAUGGCAUGUCGAAUCAGACUGCCUGAAGAUCAGCACCAACCUUAAGGAACAGCCUGCAACGCGUCGAGGCAUAUUGUCCAUUGUUGCAUCCCUGUACGAUCCUUUGGGUCUCAUAGCCCCUUUCUUGCUCAUUGGAAAGGAAGUGCUGCAGCAGAUGUGCUGCCAUGGAACAGGUUGGGAUGACCCUCUAACCAACGAACUUCGCCCACGGUGGGAGAAAUGGAAAAACGACAUCAACAACUUGGAGAGGAUAAAUAUACCCCGAAGUUACGCCCCGGCAGAUUUCGGAAAGGUUAUCAAACGUGAGUUACAUCACUUUUCCGACGCAAGCACUACUGGCUAUGGACAGUGUUCAUAUCUGAGGCUUAGCAAUGAAGAAGGAGACAUCCACUGUGCACUAGUCAUGGCCAAAUCUCGCGUUGCCCCAACAAAGGUUACCACGAUCCCAAGAUUAGAGUUGACAGCUGCAGUCAUUUCUGUGAAAACCAGCAAUGUUUUGAAGGAAGAACUUGGAUAUGCGGACAUUGAAGAGCAUUUUUGGACCGAUUCCAAGGUUGUACUAGGGUACAUCAAUAACGAGGCUCGACGUUUUCACACAUUCGUAGCCAACCGUAUCCAGAAGAUACAUCUCUACACGAAUCAAAGGCAAUGGAGAUACGUCCCUACCGACCAGAAUCCUGCGGAUCGUGCUUCUAGAGGUUGUUUCGUCAAUGAGCUAAUAUCAUCGAACUGGUUUACCGGCCCUGCAUUUCUAUGGGAAAAGGGAGUUGACCUCUCAGAAGAGGUGGCUCCGGAACUGUCAGUCGGAGAUCCAGAAGUUAAGGAAACACGGACUCUAAACACAGAAACUGUAGAACAAGAUUCUCUUACCUAUCGGCUGACAAAGUUCUCGUCCUGGACUCGCGCCAUCUGUGCAGUGGCUCGCAUUCUUCGAAGGAUUAACAAGGAUAAGUCAAUCGGCCUCUCUACAGUGCAUGAAAGAGAAGAAGCAGAGCGCCUCAUCAUCAAAGAUCUGCAGAGACAAACAUACUCGGAGGAAGUGCGGCUAUUGAAGAAAGGUUGUCAGCUGCCACCUCAUAACAAGCUACACCACCUCAACCCCUUCUUGGACAACAAUGGUGUGAUUAAGGCGGGAGGUCGACUCCAUGAUUCAAACCUUCCUCUCUCAGUCAAAUACCCUACCAUCAUUCCAAAGGAACAUCAUGUUACAAGGAUGAUCAUAGCAUACUGUCAUGAAGAAGUCAAGCAUCAAGGCAAGGGGAUGACUCUCAGUGCAAUUAGGACAAGAGGUUACUGGAUACCAGGAAUUGGUAGGACGGUUGCAUCCUAUCUACGCCGAUGUGUAGUUUGUCGGAAGCUUCGGAGACAGACAGAAGAACAGAAAAUGGCCGAUCUCCCUCCAGAGCGAGUAAAUCCAUCUCCACCCUUUACCUACUGUGGAAUGGAUUGCUUUGGACCCUUCUAUAGCAAGCAAGGACGUAGUGUGCGAAAACGAUAUGGUCUCCUUUUCACCUGCUUCUCCUCUAGAGCCAUCCAUAUUGAAAUGCUGGAGGACCUAUCUACAGACUCAUUCAUAAUUGGGCUGCGCUGCUUCAUUGCUAUACGUGGAGCCGUGCGCCAGAUCAAAUCUGACCAAGGCAGUAACUUCCUAGGAGCCAAGAAUGAACUGCAGGUAGCCCUCACGGAAUUAGAUGGUGAUAAACUGACGAACUUCCUUUCUAAGAAGCAGUGUGACUUCAUCCUAAAUGCUCCUGGUUCAAGUCAUGUUGGUGGAGUUUGGGAGCGUCAAAUUAGAACAGUCAGGAGUGUUCUCAACGCGACCCUUGGACUCUCACCUGGAAACCUACCUGAUGCUUCCCUCCGAGCAUUCUUCUAUGAAGCAAUGACGAUAGUUAAUAGUCGUCCUCUCACUAUUGAAAACCUACAUGAUCCCAACAGUCUUGACCCACUGACACCAAACCACUUACUUACCCUGAAGUCUACCAUGGCCCUUCCUCCCCCCGGCAAGUUCAUAAGAGAAGAUAUGUAUGCAAGAAAGAGAUGGCGCCACGUACAAUAUCUGGCCGAGCAGUUCUGGAGCCGUUGGCGGAAAGAGUACUUGGCCAACAUUGCCUUUAGACAACGCUGGCACACCCCAAAGAGGAACCUGCAGAUCGGGGAUAUAGUCAUAAUGAAGGAUGAAGACUUGCCCAGAAAUGAAUGGAGGUUGGGAAGAGUCGUAGACACUACAAUGGACAGAGAUGGACUGGUUAGGAGAGUAAAGCUAUGUCUAGGUGACAGGAAACUUGGCAAAAAUGGUGAACGUCUCACUAAGCAGUCAGUGCUCGAACGGCCAGUUCAAAAACUAGUCUUAUUGUUGGAAAAUGACUAGUUCAUUCCUUGCAUACUAUGCUUCUGUUGUUUGGUCAUUAUUUGUAUUAUGAAAUCAUUUGUGUUCUUUCUUCCUAUGGUUAUGGAGUUAUGAUGUUUGGAACACUAAUGAUUUGGUGGGAGUGUAAAUGACCCAGAUUAUUUGUUUAUUUGAUAUUUUUCAAACAGUUAAAUCCCUGAACGAAUUAUACCUUAUAAUAUAGAUUAGACUCUUAUUUUGAAAUUUGGAACGGGCAACUUCCGGGAAGGAAGAUCGUACUGCUACUGCUUGCUGCAGAAAAGGUUCAUGAGAAAGUUAUUGUUUCCCAUCCAUCUUUAAAUUAGCAUCUAGCUGGAAGGCGAACAGCUCUUACGAUGUUUCUAUGGUAAAACUUGUGAAUAAAUGGGUUGGAAUACCCCACCAUGGUCCAUCCGUAAUGAUCAUUGAGUGCAUCGUCUGAAUAAAGUCCGGCUGGAAUGC